This 284-nucleotide ribosomal RNA is filed under the name uncultured bacterium. RNAcentral's name for it is "partial 16S ribosomal RNA". It matches the Rfam family "Bacterial small subunit ribosomal RNA", at positions 28 to 306 of the family's 1533-position model. The record is from RNAcentral.
GAUGAACGCUAGCGGCAGGCCUAACACAUGCAAGUCGAGGGGCAGCGGGAAAAAGCUUGCUUUUUUGCCGGCGACCGGCGCACGGGUGCGGAACGCGUAUGGAACCUGCCCCUGUCAGGGGAAUAGCCCAGGGAAACUUGGAUUAAUGCCCCAUGGUACCGUUACAUCGCAUGAUGUUUCGGUUAAAGAUUUAUCGGACAGGGAUGGCCAUGCGUACCAUUAGUUAGUUGGCGGGGUAACGCCCACCAAGGCAGCGAUGGUUAGGGGCCCUGAGAGGGGAUCCC